AUUGAACGCUGGCGGCAGGCUUAACACAUGCAAGUCGAACGAGCGGCGGACGGGUGAGUAAUGUAUGGGAAUCUGCCCGAUAGAGGGGGAUAACUACUGGAAACGGUCGCUAAUACCGCAUACUAUAGGAUGAGCCCAUGUGGGAUUAGCUAGUUGGUGGGGUAAAGGCCCACCAAGGCGACGAUCUCUAGCUGGUCUGAGAGGAUGACCAGCCACACUGGGACUGAGACACGGCCCAGACUCCUACGGGAGGCAGCAGUGGGGAAUAUUGCACAAUGGGCGCAAGCCUGAUGCAGCCAUGCCGCGUGAAUGAAGAAGGCCUUCGGGUUGUAAAGUACUUUCAGCGGCGAGGCGUUACUCGCAGAAGAAGCACCGGCUAACUCCGUGCCAGCAGCCGCGGUAAUUC
Molecule: ribosomal RNA, 406 nt
Filed under: uncultured bacterium
Lineage: Bacteria
Description: partial 16S ribosomal RNA
Rfam family: Bacterial small subunit ribosomal RNA
Source: RNAcentral